AUACUUACCUGGCAGGAGGGACUCCAUAUUCAGAAAAGCGGUUUUCCCAGGUCGAGCUUCAUCCAUUGCACUUGGGAUGUGCUGACCCCUAUGAUUUCCCCAAACGCGGGGAAACUCGACUGCAUAAUCUGUGGUACUGGGGAACUGUGUUCACAGUCUCCCCU
Molecule: small nuclear RNA, 164 nt
Organism: Nannospalax galili (Upper Galilee mountains blind mole rat)
Lineage: Eukaryota; Metazoa; Chordata; Mammalia; Rodentia; Spalacidae
Gene: U1
Rfam family: U1 spliceosomal RNA
About the family: U1 is a small nuclear RNA (snRNA) component of the spliceosome (involved in pre-mRNA splicing). Its 5' end forms complementary base pairs with the 5' splice junction, thus defining the 5' donor site of an intron.
Source: Ensembl